RNAcentral lists this ribosomal RNA (860 nucleotides) under Sphaceloma asclepiadis. Its description in RNAcentral is "LSU rRNA". It matches the Rfam family "Eukaryotic large subunit ribosomal RNA", at positions 61 to 943 of the family's 3401-position model. Lineage: Eukaryota; Fungi; Ascomycota; Dothideomycetes; Myriangiales; Elsinoaceae. The record is from RNAcentral.
GAAACCAACAGGGAUUGCCUCAGUAACGGCGAGUGAAGCGGCAACAGCUCAAAUUUGAAAUCUGGCGCCUUCGGCGUCCGAGUUGUAAUUUGUAGAGGAUGCUAUUGGGUUGCCACCGGUCUAAGUUCCUUGGAACAGGACGUCACAGAGGGUGAGAAUCCCGUAUGUGACCGGCCAGGCGCCUUCUGUAUAGCUCCUUCGACGAGUCGGGUUGUUUGGGAAUGCAGCCCUAAAUGGGAGGUAAAUUUCUUCUAAAGCUAAAUACCGGCCAGAGACCGAUAGCGCACAAGUAGAGUGAUCGAAAGAUGAAAAGCACUUUGGAAAGAGAGUUAAAAAGCACGUGAAAUUGUUGAAAGGGAAGCGCUUGCAAUCAGUCUCGACGGCGGCUGUUCGGCCUCUCUUCUGAGUGGUUUAUUCAGUCGCCGCCGGGCCAGCAUCAGUUUCGGCGGUCGGAUAAAGGCGUGGGGAAUGUAGCUCCUCCGGGAGUGUUAUAGCCCCGCGUGCAAUACGGCCCGCCGGGACUGAGGUCCGCGCUUCGGCUAGGAUGCUGGCGAAAUGGUUGUAAGCGGCCCGUCUUGAAACACGGACCAAGGAGUCUAACAUCUACGCGAGUGUUUGGGUGUCAAACCCGUGCGCGCAAUGAAAGUGAACGGAGGUGGGAACCGCAAGGUGCACCAUCGACCGAUCCUGAUGUCUUCGGAUGGAUUUGAGUAAGAGCGUAGCUGUUGGGACCCGAAAGAUGGUGAACUAUGCCUGAAUAGGGUGAAGCCAGAGGAAACUCUGGUGGAGGCUCGCAGCGGUUCUGACGUGCAAAUCGAUCGUCAAAUUUGGGUAUAGGGGCGAAAGACUAAUCGAACCAU